GGGGAUUUAGCUCAGUGGCAUAAGCACCUGCCUGCCAAGCUCGAGGUUGUGAGUUCAAUUCUCCCCCCCCCCA
RNAcentral lists this transfer RNA (73 nucleotides) under Cavia porcellus (domestic guinea pig). It matches the Rfam family "tRNA". Rfam says of the family: Transfer RNA (tRNA) molecules are approximately 80 nucleotides in length. Their secondary structure includes four short double-helical elements and three loops (D, anti-codon, and T loops). Further hydrogen bonds mediate the characteristic L-shaped molecular structure. tRNAs have two regions of fundamental functional importance: the anti-codon, which is responsible for specific mRNA codon recognition, and the 3' end, to which the tRNAs corresponding amino acid is attached (by aminoacyl-tRNA synthetases). tRNAs cope with the degeneracy of the genetic code in two manners: having more than one tRNA (with a specific anti-codon) for a particular amino acid; and 'wobble' base-pairing, i.e. permitting non-standard base-pairing at the 3rd anti-codon position. Lineage: Eukaryota; Metazoa; Chordata; Mammalia; Rodentia; Caviidae. The record is from Rfam by way of RNAcentral.